Molecule: ribosomal RNA, 1501 nt
Filed under: uncultured bacterium
Lineage: Bacteria
Description: bacterial SSU rRNA
Rfam family: Bacterial small subunit ribosomal RNA
Source: RNAcentral
AGAGUUUGAUCCUGGCUCAGAUUGAACGCUGGCGGUAUGCUUAACACAUGCAAGUCGAACGGAAACGAAACUAGCUUGCUAGUAGGCGUCGAGUGGCGGACGGGUGAGUAACGCGUAGGAAUCUGCCUGAUAGUGGGGGAUAGCCCGAAGAAAUUCGGAUUAAUACCGCAUAAUCUAUUCGUAGUAAAGUGGGGGACUUUCGAGCCUCACGCUAUCAGAUGAGCCUGCGUAAGAUUAGCUUGUUGGUAGGGUAAAAGCCUACCAAGGCAACGAUCUUUAGCUGGUCUGAGAGGAUGAUCAGCCACAUCGGGACUGAGACACGGCCCGAACUCCUACGGGAGGCAGCAGUGGGGAAUAUUGGACAAUGGGGGCAACCCUGAUCCAGCAAUACCGCGUGUGUGAAGAAGGCCCGAGGGUUGUAAAGCACUUUCAAUUGUGAAGAAAAGUUAGCGGUUAAUAACCGUUGACCUUGACGUUAACUAUAGAAGAAGCACCGGCUAACUCCGUGCCAGCAGCCGCGGUAAUACGGAGGGUGCAAGCGUUAAUCGGAAUUACUGGGCGUAAAGCGUGCGUAGGCGGUUUAUUAAGUCAGAUGUGAAAGCCCCGGGCUUAACCUGGGAACUGCAUUUGAAACUGGUCAACUAGAGUAUGGUAGAGGAAAGUGGAAUUUCUGGUGUAGUGGUGAAAUGCGUAGAUAUCAGAAGGAACAUCAAUGGCGAAGGCAGCUUUCUGGACCAAUACUGACGCUGAGGUACGAAAGCGUGGGUAGCAAACAGGAUUAGAUACCCUGGUAGUCCACGCCGUAAACGAUGAUAACUAGCCGUUGGGGGGAUUUACCCCUUAGUGGCGAAGCUAACGCGUUAAGUUAUCCGCCUGGGGAGUACGGCCGCAAGGCUAAAACUCAAAGGAAUUGACGGGGACCCGCACAAGCGGUGGAGCAUGUGGUUUAAUUCGAUGCAACGCGAAGAACCUUACCUGGUCUUGACAUCCUGCGAACUUUCUAGAAAUAGAUUGGUGCCUUCGGGAACGCAGUGACAGGUGCUGCAUGGCUGUCGUCAGCUCGUGUCGUGAGAUGUUGGGUUAAGUCCCGUAACGAGCGCAACCCCUAUCCUUAUUUGCCAGCACAUUAUGGUGGGAACUAUAAGGAGACUGCCGGUGAUAAACCGGAGGAAGGCGGGGACGACGUCAAGUCAUCAUGGCCCUUACGACCAGGGCUACACACGUGCUACAAUGGGAAGGACAAAGAGCCGCGAAGCCGCGAGGUGUAGCUAAUCUCAUAAAUCUUUUCGUAGUCCGGAUUGGAGUCUGCAACUCGACUCCAUGAAGUCGGAAUCGCUAGUAAUCGUAGAUCAGAAUGCUACGGUGAAUACGUUCCCGGGUCUUGUACACACCGCCCGUCAUACCAUGGGAGUGGGUUGCACCAGAAGUGGCUAGUCUAACUUAGUGAGGACGGUCACCACGGUGUGAUUCAUGACUGGGGUAAAGUCGUAACAAGGUAACC